This 448-nucleotide ribosomal RNA is filed under the name uncultured bacterium. RNAcentral describes it as "bacterial SSU rRNA". It matches the Rfam family "Bacterial small subunit ribosomal RNA", at positions 29 to 506 of the family's 1533-position model. The record is from RNAcentral.
ACGAACGCUGGCGGCGUGCCUAAAACAUGCAAGUCGAACGAGCCCUUCGGGGCUAGUGGCGAACGGCGGAGUAAUACAUGAGUAACGUGCCUCUAAGACCGGGACAAACGCAGAAAUGUUAUAAAUACCGGAUGUGAUCGAGACCUGGCAUCAGGAUUCGAUUAAACGGAUUUUCGCUUAGAGAGCGGCUCAUGACACAUCAGGUAGUUGGUGGGGUAAUGGCCUACCAAGCCGACGACGUGUAGGGGGUCUGAGAGGAUGAUCCCCCCGAGUGGGACUGAGACACGGCCCACACACCUACGGGUGGCAGCAGUUGGGAAUCUUGCACAAUGGGGGAAACCCUGAUGCAGCGACGCCGCGUGGACGAUGAAGGCCUUAGGGUUGUAAAGUCCUUUUGCACGGAAAGACUUAGGACGGUACCGUGCGAAUAAGCUCCGGCUAACUACGU